GCAAGAGUGAAAGUUCCAAUCCUCUAAAGUCAUAGUUGUUACCUUGGUAACCAGCCCCCAUCCUGAGGUAAUCUAGGCGCUCCCAGCUACCAGUCAUCUCAUUAGGACACAAAAAAUACUUUUUUUUUUCUGACAUAGGAUACUGUGUCACCCAAGCUGGAGCACAAUGGCAUGAUCAUGGCUCACUGCAGCCUCUACCUCCUACACUCAAGUGAUCCUCCUGCCUCAGCCUCCUGAGUAGCUGGGACUUCAAGCAAGCAGCCACCACAUCUGGCUAACAAAAGAUACUCUUAUCUCUUGGGAAUUCUAAGGAUUUUGGAUGCUUAAGUGAGGAAAUGGGGAAUAAGACCAAAUAUGCGUUUCGUUAUAAAACACAAGGAAACAUGGGGAAGUGAUAGAAGUCUGAAAUCAAACUAGCUGGGAAACUACAUUUAUCGUUGGACUGAGUAUAUGUCUGGCCCCCGGGUAAAUUGCUCUGUGAUUCUUAACCUAAAUGGCAAUUAAACAAUCCUCUGGAUCCUGGAUCUUACUGAAUAUUCACUACUAAAGAGAUGACAAAAUUUCACUGAAGUGGGGAAUUAAAUGAAGACAAGGAUGCCAUGUUGAAUGUACUGUCGACAUACUGAUAGAGGGGAAAACAUCUACCACAUGUCAGACUGUGCUGGAGACUCCAGAGGAAUUCGCUGAAACAACAAAUUGACCAAAAAUAAAUAUUUG
RNAcentral lists this long non-coding RNA (717 nucleotides) under Callithrix jacchus (white-tufted-ear marmoset). RNAcentral describes it as "lncRNA (ENSCJAG00000053863.2)". The record is from RNAcentral. Lineage: Eukaryota; Metazoa; Chordata; Mammalia; Primates; Cebidae.